Molecule: non-coding RNA, 423 nt
Organism: Gasterosteus aculeatus aculeatus (three-spined stickleback)
Lineage: Eukaryota; Metazoa; Chordata; Actinopteri; Perciformes; Gasterosteidae
Source: RefSeq, a predicted model, not a curated record
UGCUCAUGAAUUCUCACAUGUUUCUGGUUGCAGCACCAUCCACUGACCAACCUGAUGACUCUAUUGCUGCAAAGGUGUCAUACAUAGUUGUUGUCUGAUCUGUGGAAGCUCACCAAGUGCAGAGCCAAAACCACAAUGGAAUGCAGUUGCUAUGACAACAACAGCAACAACAACAACACGCUAAACUGCAACAAAACGGCAACCUUCAGCAUCCUGUUUAUUUUCACCUUUCAAAUCGUUCCUGAUUGGUUGUCUCCAUUUUACGUUGGAAAAUCUGUCUUCUUCACCAAUCGACUGUCUGUGUGCUCGUCCUUUAAUCAGUCUCUCUUUCUGUCUCUCUCUCUCGUGAUUCAGACAGGCGUCUGUCUGACGCUGAACAUGUGUUCAAACAGAAGAACUGCUAAUAAACUUUGAACGUCAAAA